AAAUUAUUUAUGAACACAAGAAAUCAGGAUUAAUAUAUCCUUAAGCUAUGGCUUGCUUAAUUGGCUAUAAUACAUAAAAUAUCAUAACAAAUGCUGGGGCAUCACCAAGGAGCACGGUACUUCAUACUGUUCUAGUUCUAGUCGUUGAAUAGCAAUUCAAUCAUUUUGGAAGUUUAUGAUCAUAUCUUAAAUUCUUUAAUUGCAUGGUUUGGGGAGGAUCUUAACUGUGGGGUUCGGGUUCUUAAAUCAAGUGUCUCUCCCACAAACCAAAAACCAAUUCAUGUAAUUGAUAUAGGUAGAAUGAAGGAUGGGUGUGGCCUUCCCCUCUCCUUCCUCUUCUAGGCUGGAUGUACAAGAGGAAAGUGCAAUAGCUCAAAUUAACAAUCUUUACUCCAAAUUCCAAUCUCAAACCUCCUAUGCUAAGCAAAGGAGGCAAUGGCUGAAGUCACUUUUUUAAUCUGUUUAUAAACUAGAG
RNAcentral lists this unclassified non-coding RNA (475 nucleotides) under Hevea brasiliensis (rubber tree). Lineage: Eukaryota; Viridiplantae; Streptophyta; Magnoliopsida; Malpighiales; Euphorbiaceae. The record is from RNAcentral.